UGAACGCUGGCGGUAUGCCUAACACAUGCAAGUCGUACGAGAGUUUUUAACUCAAGUGGCGGACGGGUGAGUAACACGUGAGAAUUUACCUUUAGGAGGGGGACAACAGUUGGAAACGAUUGCUAAUACCCCAUAUGCUUUCGAGUGAAAUAGAUUUAUCUGCCUAAAGAAAAGCUCGCGGCUGAUUAGCUUGUUGGUAAGGUAAUGGCUUACCAAGGCGACGAUCAGUAUCUGGUUUGAGAGGACGAUCAGACACACUGGAACUGAGACACGGUCCAGACUCCUACGGGAGGCAGCAGUGGGGAAUUUUCCGCAAUGGGCGAAAGCCUGACGGAGCAAUACCGCGUGAGGGAAGACGGCCUAUGGGUUGUAAACCUCUUUUUUCAGGGAGGAAUAAAUGACGUGUACCUGAAGAAUAAGCAUCGGCUAACUCC
Molecule: ribosomal RNA, 434 nt
Filed under: uncultured bacterium
Lineage: Bacteria
Description: bacterial SSU rRNA
Rfam family: Bacterial small subunit ribosomal RNA
Source: RNAcentral